GGCUCAAUGGUCUAGUGGUAUGAUUCGCGCUUCGGGAUUGAACUCCCCUCUGAGCACUCAGAGAAGAAGAUGUGCGAGGUCUCGGGUUCGAUCCCCGAUUGAGCCC
Molecule: non-coding RNA, 106 nt
Organism: Diplogelasinospora grovesii
Lineage: Eukaryota; Fungi; Ascomycota; Sordariomycetes; Sordariales; Diplogelasinosporaceae
Source: the annotation of a GenBank genome assembly